GCAAAACGCCUCGCCAAGAAACCGUCAAGCUUGCCAUCGACAGCGGUGAGCAGAUCGUCGACACCUUUGAGGACAUUAACCUCAAAUGGCUCUACGUGGUCCAAACAUUCCCGACCGGCCAGGUAACACGUCGCUUCGAGCUAACCUUCCACAAGAAACACAAAGACAAAGUCCUGACCUCCUACUUGCGCCAUGUGGUCACUCGGGCUGAAGCCAUUAAAAAAGAGGAAAAGAUUCUCAAACUUCGUAGCGUUAACUCACCAUCACGAGUGGAUCUGGAGCACCCAGCCACGUUCGAGACGAUCGCCAUGGAGCCCGACCAGAAGACAAAGAUUAUCAAGGACUUGGACAGAUUUGUGAGAAGGAGGGAGUUUUAUAAGAAGGUGGGGAAGGCCUGGAAAAGAGGCUACUUGUUGUAUGGCCCUCCUGGCACUGGCAAGUCGAGCUUGAUUGCAGCCAUGGCUAAUCAUCUCAAGUUUGACGUGUAUGAAUUGGAGCUCGACGGUAUUUGCAGUGACUCUCAGUUGAAGAGAGUGUUGCUAUCCACUAAAAAUCGUUCUAUUUUGGUGAUUGAGGAUAUUGAUUGCACCGUCCGUGACAUGCAAGACCGGAAAUCGGAGCAGCCCACGGUUAGUACAUACUCUUUUUUUAUAUGUAGAUUUUUUUGGGGCAUUCACAUAGUGUUCUGUUGAUAUUUGCAGUUCACACUCUCAGGCCUGCUAAACUUCAUGGAUGGUCUGUGGUCAAGCUGCGGUGACGAGAGAAUUAUUGUGUUCACAACAAAUCACAAGGAUCGGCUUGAGCCUGCACUGUUGCGUCCUGGUCGAAUGGACGUCCACAUUCACAUGUCGUAUUGCACUCCACAUGCGUUUAGGGUCUUGGCCUCCAACUACCUUGGCAUUCAAGACUUGAAUCAUCAUGGCCUUUACGGAGAAAUCACAGGCUUGCUAGAGAGCACAGAGGUCACCCCUGCUGAGGUCUGUGAGCAACUGUUGAAGAGAGAUGAUGAUGUUGACGACGAUGAUGCUGAUGCUGCUCUUGCUGGACUUGUCAACUUUCUCAAACUCAAGAAGCUUGAAGAGACUAAUAAUAUUGAUAAACCAGAAACUCAAGAAGGAUCUCAAUGUUAAUGAUGAUGACGGUGACAACUCCUCCACCUAGCAUGAGCUAGGGCAGUAGAAUAAGUUGGUGUCAUUUGUCCCAUCUGAUUAUGAAGUAAUGUAUGGUUAUAUUCAGACUCUUCCCUUUUUUUUCUUUCUUAAUUAUAGCGUACCUACCAAAGUAGAGAAAUUAUGUGGAAAAAGACCUGCAAACAGAGACCUUGACUUUUGGUCAACAAGGAAGGCAAAGAGAAGCGACCACCAGCAUUUGAUGGAAAUUUCUGUUCUUAUACGACUUCUAACAAGUCUCGUUGACUUAGGGUCCCUUUUUGGGGUUGACACGUAAUUGUGACCAUAAGGAAAAUUCUACCAUGUUGCAUUUUCUGAAACGAAAUCCAUACCAAAUGAUCUUUCUGAACCUCUUAACUAUACCUCUGCAGAAGUCUUGGCAAUCUUGCUCUGAUCAAACAUGAUCCAAUGGUGUGCAGAGAAAAUUACAAAAGUGACAAACGUAAUAAGUUUCACUUCCCCCUGGCUCAAUUCUACUUUUUUCUUACAUCCUUAAUCAACCAAUGCAAAUAUAUUCCAUUCCUUAUCAGUUGUCCCAUUAAUAUAUUUAUGAAAUACCAUAUCAGUUUGCAAACAUUUUUAGAUUUGGUUGAGCUUGAGACAUGGUUGUUCAAGGGAAUAAGGGGAUUGAGAAUUGUUGAUUUUCAAGUAGGAGUUGGAGACGGUGUUGUUCAACCUCACAACUUAAUAAGCAUAUAUACUUCCACAAUCAACGCCACCUCACUCGAUCAACACUUGAUUUCGUUGAAUUAAACUAAUUUCUCUUGUAUUAAGAUACCAAGUUGACAACUCCUAAAUUAUCUUCUAAGUUUAUUGCCCUGCUAGCACUUGGUAUCGAUUCGAAGUUGCUAGGCUAGUUUAUUUUCCUAAAAUCGGUUCAUCAGUCUGUCAAUUCCUCACUUACUUUCUAUGUAAGUUAUUGUUUAUAAUUAAUUGAAUCGAGAAAUCUUCUGUUUAUUUGUGAAUUUUUAUUUUUAGAAAAAUUCCAUGUAUGAGGUUAAGUGCAUCUCUUAAUUAGAACAUCUAUAGUGGGGUGAUGUAUAAUAGGAUGUAUGUUAAAUAUACACCCGUUAUGAUCGGAAUUACUCGUAAUAAGGGUGUAAAUAAAUGUAUAAUUACAUCACCACCAUGAGAUGUAAAUUUAGAUGCAAUUGUACAUAUUUUUUUACAUUCCCAUUGCGGAUGGAACCCAACUGAAAAAAAAAGAGGAAAAAUAGAGAAAAGUCAGAAUAAAAAGGUGGGACCCAGCUAACAACAAUGGUGCAUGCAACGGUAUGGCUCGAUUUUGUCCUCAUCCCAUUUCUUCCUUUUUUUAAUUCAACUUGUUUCCACGGUCUCUCCCAUCUCUCUACUUUUGAUAUUUAUUUAUAAUUUCAUAUAUAUAUAUAUAUAUAUAAUUAAAUUAAUAAUUUACUUACUUUCCAACCUUAAGACGGAGACUCGGUAUAGAGAAAUUAUUGUAUGAUAUCGUAUCAUCACUUCAAUUGAUGAUACUUCCGUUUAUCUUUCAUAGAAGAUUAUAACCUUUUUUUUAAAGCAUAAUUAAAAACAUCAAUUUCACCUUUUUGAAUAAACUUUUUUAAAAAGCUUUAAUUGUUUUAGAAAAUGACAUAUUGCACAUUUUUAGAUUAAAUGUACUUUACAAUCCAACGAUUCUUUUUUAAUGAAAUUAUAUUUUCUCCAAAUUCAAAUAUUUUUAGGUCUAUUUGUUUGAAAAAAUAAAAUUAACCUAAUACAAAAAAAAAAUUAAUUUUAUAAAGUAAACACAAAAUAUAAAUUUAACACAAAAACAAAUUAAGACAAACAAAUCAAUUAUACAUCUUUAGAUUUACUUCGUUUUUUAUUGGAGAAAAAAACGUAUUUACACUUCCCGAAUGUGUAAAGGAGAUAUAAAAGUGUCUUUACACCCCCGAAAAUACACCUCCUACUGUAGAAGCUCUUAGGUAUUUGAUAAUUUUUUGAUUUUGUGUUAUGUUGACAUUUGCAGUUCACACUCUCGGGCCUACUAAACUUCAUGGAUGGUCUGUGGUCAAGUUGCGGUGAUGAAAGAAUUAUUGUGUUCACAACAAACCACAAGGAUGACGAUGAUGAUGCUGCUCUUGUAAGAGUUGUCAAGGUCACCCCUGCUGAGAUUUGUGAGGAAGUACUGAAGAAAAAUGACGAGGACGAGGACGACGAUGAUGAUGCUGCUCUCGAAAGAGUUGUCGACCUUCUCAAACUUGAGAAGCUUGAAGGGACUAAUAAUAUUGAAAAGACAGAAAUGCAAGCAGAAAAAAGGCAGGAAAAUGGAUCUCAGGUGAAUGAUGAAAGUGACAACUCAUGCAUCCAACAUGAGCUAUAGCGAUCCCCUUUUAGAUAAGUCUUUUUGUUAUUAGUACUUUUGUAGGAAAAGAAAUCUGGAUGUCAAGUACUCUAAUCCCAGUUUUGUUUGGUGUCCUGUCAGGUGUUGUCCUAUUAUCCUAUCUGAUUAUGAUGUAAUCACUUUGGUUAUAUCGAUAAAUAAAGUAAGUAAUGGUAUGGUUAGUUCAAAUUCUAUUCAAACUCUAAUAUUAUUUUCUUUCACGAAUGUGCGCUAGCAACAUAUAUACAUAAGGUGGUGUGGUGUUUUUGUUGUUAAGAGGUAGAAAGAAAAUUUACUCGCACACACACAAGUGCCUAGAAAUUUCGAAUAUGAGAUGAUUGGUCUUAAGUCAAACAUACUUUUUCACUACGGUAUGAUCCUAUUAGCUUCAUACUCUCUUGUUUCACUCUAGAGUGCAAGUGGCUACUUUUGAAAUGAAAUAAUUAACAACAGUUACUUUCUUAAUUAUAUCAUAGUUUACUUACCAAAGUGGAGAAGAUUUAUAUUUUUUGUUGUACUUCUUCAUAGGUUUUGAAUUUUGAUGCAACCAGAAGCUUUUUGUGUGUGUUGUUGCAUGUGAAUGGCGGGAAAAGAAUGGCAACUGUGUGAAAUUGAUCAAGUUAAGAUCAAUCCGGUAUGAUUGAAAACAUCAAAGCCAUCAAAUUAGUCAUGGUCUGCUCUAGGUUUCUUUAUUCAUUUUGGCCUCAAAUAUUAAAUACAUGUGUUUAAAAAGCAAUAACAAUCUAAUCAAAUAACUCACCCAACCCAACUCCUACGUUCAACGUAUAGUCCUAACACAAUCAAAUGUUUUAUUGAAUAUUUAUCCAGAGACUUACCUAUAAACUAGGUCACCUAGCACACUAAAAAAAAAAACCACGUACAGUAAAAAAAAGAUAUCUAGCAUAAGGAGAAAUUCGACCAAAACAAAAAAAAAUAGCAUAAGGAGAAAAAAGAGGGACUAUUGUCAACUAAACGACAAUAACCUACACAAAACACAAUGCACGCGGUUUUGACUGGUGGUGUACAAGUAGACUUCUUUGUCGAUCUUGCCAUGUGCAAUUGUCUGUGGCUGUGGUUUCACUAGUACUGUAUAUGAAUUUACCCCCCAAGUAACAAACCUCAAAUAUAUAUCCCCAAAUUUGAUUAAAAAAUCCCCCAACAAGAACAUCUCCUUCUUCUUCUUCUUCUUCUUCUUCUUCUUCUCAACCUCUGCCUUGCUUACCUUGCAUCCAUCCAUCCGCCAUGAAUUUCAUCGUGGAGGAACUCAUGCUUUUCAUUUCCACUGCCCUCAAUUACCUUGCUACCCUUUUCUCCCCUGGCCAUUAUCAUCAUGACCUCACUUUCAUCAUCCGCCAGAAGAGCACGCCACCCAACCAAGUCUACGACGCCGCCGAGCUCUACCUCCCAUCCAUCGAGUUGAUCAAUCCCUCCACUCGUACUAUCGGCGUCAGCAAAACACCGCGGCAAGAAGCCGUCAAGCUUGCCAUGGAAAGCGGUGAGCAGAUCGCCGACACCUUUGAGGACAUUAACCUCAACUGGCUCUACGUGGUCCAAACAUUCCCGAGCGGCCAGGUAACACGUCGCUUCGAGCUAACCUUCCACAAGAAACACAAAGACAAAGUCCUGACCUCCUACUUGCGCCAUGUGGUUACUCGGGCUGAAGCCAUUAAAAAAGAGGAAAAGAUUCUCAAACUUCGUAGCGUUAACUCACCAUCACGAGUGGAUCUGGAGCACCCAGCCACGUUCGAGACGAUCGCCAUGGGGCCCGACCAGAAGACAAAGAUUAUAAAGGACUUGGACAGGUUUGUGAGGAGGAGGGAGUUUUAUAAGAAGGUGGGCAAGGCUUGGAAAAGAGGCUACUUAUUGUAUGGCCCUCCUGGGACUGGCAAAUCCAGCUUGAUUGCAGCCAUGGCUAAUCAUCUCAAGUUUGACGUGUAUGAAUUGGAGCUUGAUGGUAUUUACAGUGACUCUCAAUUGAAGAGCGUGUUACUGUCCACUGCAAAUCGUUCUAUUUUGGUCAUUGAGGAUAUUGAUUUCAGCGCCGUUAAUGCGCGAAAACGAAAGUGCGGGGUUAGUACCUACCUAUACCUACCUAAAUUUUUCUGUGAAUUAGGUGUUCGAUAAUUUUUGGUUUAUUUUUUGGUGUAACAUAGUAAAAAUUUAAUUACUAUGCUGAUAUUUGCAGAUCACGGUCUCAGGCCUGCUAAACUUCAUGGAUGGUCUGUGGUCGAGCUGCGGUGACGAGAGAAUUAUUGUGUUCACAACAAACCACAAGGAUCGGCUUGAGCCUGCAUUACUGCGUCCUGGUCGAAUGGACGUCCACAUUCACAUGUCCUAUUGCACUCCGCAUGCGUUUAAGGUUUUGGCCUCCAACUACCUUGGUGUUCAGGACUUGGACCGUCAUCCUCUUUAUGGAGAAAUCGCGGGGUUGCUAGAGAGCACAGAGGUCGCCCCUGCUGAGGUUUGUGAGGAGCUAUUGAAGAGAGAUGAUGAUGUUGACGAUGAUGAUGUUGAUGCUGCUCUCGAAGGAGUUGUCAAAUUUCUCAAACUCAAGAAGCUUGAAGGGGAUAAUAAUAAUAUUGAUGAACCAGAAUUUCAAGAAGGAAAAAGGCAGGAUGUGGAUGUCAGUGUUAACGAUGACGACAGUGAGAGCUCAAGCACCUGAAAUAAUCGACCAUAGCUUUAUCUAGCUAGGCAGUAGAAUAAGUUGCAUCUUCCGAUGGCCUAGCUAGUCCCUUUGGCUUUAAGUACUUUUGUCUUUGAGUUUAAGUACUUUUGUAUUUGGUUUUGUUUGGUGUUAUGUUUCUCCUUUCUGUUUGGCUAUCCUUGCGGGGUGCUAUGCUAUCCUUGUUAUGGUUAUUAUAUGUCCUCGUCUCGCUCUCCUUCUAGCAGAAUUGAUAGGGGUAGAUGGUCCUGGUAUUUAUCCAGAAAAUUUGGUGGGCCGAAAAUGAAAUUUCACAUGUUGAGAUUUACACAAUUUGCAUAUUUUUAUAGAAUUUGAGCUCGGAAUUUUGGAUUGUGAAAUCCCCUAAUAUUGCUCGCAUGCAAUUUGCAAAAUACUGAGUUGAUAGUAUUGGAAAUGCUGCAAAAUGCUCCGUUUUCCAUGAGUGAAAUCCCGAUUUCUGCUCAUAUCCCAUCUUUUUCCCCUCAUCCAAACACUGGCUGCUAUUUGAAAUGCAAUAAUCCAAAGUGGAGAAAUUAUGUGGAAGAAGUCGUCUUCGUCCCUAUUGCUAUGCAAAUGUGUAUGGCCGACCAGCAUGCACAUGUCCAUUUGGCUUUUUGUGGUUCCAUGUCUUUUGCAAGGGAUUGUGGGGUCUACCCAAACCUGAAUUUUUUUUCUUCUUUUUGUUCUUGCAAAUCAAGCAACCUCAACUAUAUAUAUAACCAAAUUUUGAUAGAAACAAAAAAAAAAUCCACCCAACAGGAGCAUCCUCCUUCUUCUCAACCUCUGCCUCCCUUGCCUUGCAUCCAUCCAUCCGCCAUGAAUUAUCAUCAUGGCCUUACUUUGAUCAUCCGCGAGGAGGGCUCGCCAUCCAACCAAGUCUACGACGCCGCCCACCUCUACCUCCCAAGCAUUCAAUUGAUCAAUCCCUCCACUCGGACCAUCGGAGUCACCAAAACACCGCGCAGAGAAACGGUCAAGCUCGCCAUUGAAAGCGGUGAGCAAGUCCCCGACACCUUUGACUGCAUUGACCUGAACUGGCUUUACGUGGUCGAAAAAUGUCCGGACGGCUGUGUUGAACGUCGCUUUGAGCUGACGUUUCAAAAGGAACACAAAGACAAAGUCAUGACCUUCUACUUGGCCUAUGUUGUUCGUCGCGCCGAAGUCAUUAAACAAGAGAGCAAGAUUCUCAACCUCCGCAAAGUUAACUCAUACGACCAAGUCGAAUUCGAGCACCCGGCUACGUUUGAGACGAUAGCCAUGGAGCCCGGCCUAAAGCGAAAGAUUAUAAAGGAUUUGGAGAGGUUUGUGAGCAGGAGGGAGUUUUAUAAGAAGGUGGGCAAGGCUUGGAAAAGAGGCUACUUGUUGUAUGGCCCACCUGGCACUGGAAAAUCCAGCUUGAUUGCAG
This 7580-nucleotide long non-coding RNA is filed under the name Prunus persica (peach). RNAcentral describes it as "long non-coding RNA (PPER_LNC007443)". The record is from RNAcentral. Lineage: Eukaryota; Viridiplantae; Streptophyta; Magnoliopsida; Rosales; Rosaceae.